Long non-coding RNA from Capsicum annuum, 5878 nucleotides. RefSeq lists it as uncharacterized. The record is from RefSeq and is a predicted model, not a curated record. NCBI's taxonomy places the organism in Eukaryota, Viridiplantae, Streptophyta, Magnoliopsida, Solanales, Solanaceae. The transcript has 2 exons.
UUCAGACAACUCUAGAGUUGUACUCGUUCCUAUCAAAUUAAUUGGAUCAAAAAAUGACAGUUUGUGGAGUUGUUCAAUGUGAAUUGUCCUCUUAGGAAAGAGGAAAUAUGGUUUGAUCAUUGGAUCCUGCAAUGACUCGUACAGGGAGGAACUUCAUGAACAAUGGAAAACUUGCAAUGCAAUUGUCCUCUCUUGGAUCAUGAAUAAUGUUAGUGAGAGAGUCCGCUCUCUGGCAUUGUUUAUGCUACAAGUGCUUAUGCAGUCUAGGAGGACCUAAAGGAAUGAUUUGACAAGGUGAAUCGCAUGCGCAUCUAUCAGUUGCAUCGCGAAAUUAAUAUGCUUUCCCAAGGUACUGAUUCAGUUUCAAUCUAUUUCACAAAAUUGAAAAGCUUGUGGAGUGAGUAUAAUGUUUUAGUUCCUAAUCCAAGAUGUGAUUGCCCUAAAUCUAAGGAGUAUUUAUAUCACAUGUGUCAGCUGAGACUGUUGUAGUUUUUUGAGUGAGCUAAAUGAGUCAUAUGAUCAAGCUCGGAGACAAAUUUUGCUAAAGGGAGUGACUCCAACUAUCAAUCAUGCUUAUGCCAUGCUUAUAGAGGAUGAACCAACCUAGCCCAAGCUUCACGGGCCAAAAAAUUUGAUGCGCUAGGACGGGCCGGCCCUUUACUUUAAAUGGCCUUAAAAUGUAUGACCCAACCCAGCCCUAAUAGGGUCACGGGUUGGGGCAGGCUAACCCUUUAUUUUUAUCGAUUUUUUGUUAGAUUUUCUUUUUCAAUUUGAACUAAUAGAUAUGGCAGUCCAUUCGCACUUCUAACACAUUAUUAUAUAAAGUACAUAAUUCUACGAUGAUUUAUAAUAUUUCAACACCAAUACAUUGUCAAACAUAUUUGAAUUCAUUGAUUACAUUAUCUUAAUAAACAUCAACAUUCAUCUAAAUUCAUAUACAAAUUUAACAAGUUGAACAAUAUCAAAAAAUUCUAUAUCAAAAAUUUAUAAUAUUUAAAAUUCACUUAAAACUAUUAUUUCUUUGAAUUUGGGUAUUGUUGUGCAAUUGAUUUCGAGUGGUUGCAACAUGUGUUUGAACAUUUUCUAAUGGAUGCAGUUUUUAUAUUUAUGAUUAAAAAUUUUAAUAUUUAUCAUUUAAUGCUAAAUGAGUAAAAUAUUGUGUAAGAUACUUGGUAAAAUUUAUUGAGUAAUCACAAUUUAUAUUUUUAAUUAUUUUUUCUUUAAUUUUAAGUUUAAAUUGAACAACAAUAACAAAUGAAACAUCAAUACUUGAUGAUUAAGGUUUAAGACUUACUAAGUUAAAUAUCAUGUAGGAUAUUAAACUUAUUCAAUAACUAUUAUUCUUAAUUAUUACUUUUUCUUUUACAAUAUUCAUAUAUAUUUUUAAUUUAAAUUAAAUAGUAUUUUGACCCACGGGCCGGCCCGGCCCAGCCUUAGUCAAGCGUCAAGGGCCAGCGGGCUGACUUGGGCUGGACAUAUAAUCCCAGUUUUAAAUGGGCUCAAAAAUCACAACCCAACCCUUAUAGCGGGCUGGGUUGGGUCGGCCUCAAGGGCCAAGCCCAUUUUGACGACUCUAGUCAUAACCACUUGCCAUGAAAGUGAAUCGAAGUUAUACUAAUGGACAAAGAAGUACCAACUACAAAGGUAGAAAUUGUGACUAUUGUCACCUCUAAUGUCAUGCUAAGGAGAACUGUUUUAAACUGAUAGGUUAUCUCACUGAUUGAAAUCAAAACAAGAAACUAGGUCUGGUUCUAGGUCAUAUGGUGGUGGUAAAAACUAUUCCAGUAAUGGUGGAAAGUUUUAUCAACUUGAAAAUAUGGUAGCAGGACAAGUUGAUGUUGCUAGUCCCAGUCAUGACAUAGGUUUUACACCACCGGCAAAGGCUCAUACAUUCACAGAAAAGGAAUAUACUCAAAUCAUGAGCAUGUUGAACAAGGAUAACAAGGAGAUGAAACAGUCAAUAUGACAAGUAUUACCACUUGUUUUUUGUCUAAAGUUUGUUCUGAAAGUUACAUGUGGACUCAGGUGCCACACAUCAUAUGUCUGCAAACAGACAUAUGUUCAAUGAUAGUACAUGCUUAAUUCAAAGUCACAAGGACAAUUACACCUUCCUACUGGUGAUGAAGUGCAUAUUUCCCAUACUAGAGAGACUUACAUAUUGCAAAUGAUAUGAUCAAGGAUGUUCUAUUUGUUCCAGACUUCAGACUUAAUACGUUAUCUGUUGCUAAGAUAAUCAAGGAAGUAUCUUGCUUUGUUUCCUUCUAUCCUGAUUUGUGUGUCUUUUACGACCUAUUCAGUGACAAGGUGGAGGGUAUUGGUAGACAGAAGGGUGUACUUUAUAUUCUUAAAGGAGAAUUGGGAAGAUAAAACUUAUCCUGUAAGACUAAAGCAUAGUAAGAUCAUUACAGAAGUUUCAUCUACAAGAUGUACACUAUGGCACAAGAGACUUGGGCAUCCAGCUUCACGGGUUUUAAGAUGCUUAGACCUUUUGAAGAAUCUUACUAAUGUAGAUAUUCUUAAUAAAUGUACAAUCUGCCAAUUAGCUAAACAAACUAGGUUAUCAUUUCCUAAUAGUGUUACUAAGUACUCUACCUGUUUUGAACUUGUACACAUGGAUUUCUAGGGACCUUAUAAAUCUUCUGCUUUUGAUAAUAAGUACUAUUUUUUUACUAUGGUGGAUGAAUAUAGUAGAUACAUUUUGGUUCAUCUGUUGUAGCUAAAAUCUUAGACCAUAGUGGCUAUUAAGAUCUUUAUUUCCAUGAUCAAGACAUAGUUUGGUGUAUUGAUAAAGACUACAAGGUCUGAUAAUGGGACUUUAUUAAUUCUCAAUGUCAAACCUUGUUUUGGUCUUUAGGUAUUUUGUAUCAAACCAGUUGUCCUCAUACAAUACAAUAAAAUAGAGUUAUGGAGAGGAAGCACAGACAAAUAUUUAAUAUAACUAGAGCUCUUAAAUUUCAGUCUCAUUUGCCCAUUAAGUAUUGGGGGUUGUGUGUGAAGGCUGUUGUAUAUAUCAUGAAUAAGUUACCAUCUUCAGUGUUAGGUAGUAAAAUCCCUUUUCAACUGUUAUUUUUUAAAGAGCCUAACCUAUCCCAUUUACGGGUCAUGGGUUGCCUGUGUUAUGUGAUAAUUGCCCCUAGAGGUGAUAAGUUUCCUGAAAAGGCAAAACCUGUUGUGUUAGUAGGAUAUUCAAAUUCUCAAAAGGGAUACUUACUACUAGACAUGUAAUCUAAGAAGUUGUUAGUUAGUAGAAAUGUUGUGUUCCAAGAAUAUAUAUUUUCUUUUGACCAGUCACAAAAAAAAUUGCACCCGCAGCAGCUUCCAAACCUGAUACAAACAUAAUUGAUUUCUUAGUUUCCGUGAUGUUUUUUUAUGAGGAUACUUCAUUUUCUCCAUCACUAGUUGAAUAUAAUACUUUUAUUGAUACUGCACCACCUAAUAUUGAUACAAAUGACAAAAAAUAGUGCAGAUAGUCCAGUUGAUCCCUCAUUGGCUCAAACUUUAUCUAGUGGUCCUACCAGAACUAUUAGGCCACCUGUAUGGAUGCAAGAUUAUGUUGAUUCCUCUAGAAGCCAAAAAUGCAAAUAGCUUGUCUUACAACAAAGUAAGCAAUGCUUAUCAAUGUUACUUGACAAAGUUCUCUAGCUUAACUGAACCUGAGCACUUUAAGCAAGCUAUAAAAGAUGACAGAUGAGUGAAAGCCAUGAAGUUAGAGAUCCAAGCCUUGAAAGCCAACAACAUAUGGACCAUUGUUAACUUACUCAAAGAGAAGAACACUGUUGGUUCCAAAUGGAUAUACAAAAUAAAAACUAUCUUACAAAUGGUGAGGUAGAAAGUUUCAAAGUAAGAUUAGUGGACAAAGGCUGUGUCAGUAAAAGGGGCUAGACUAUCAUAAGACAUAUUCACUAGUUGCUAAAAUGGUAACAGUCAAGUGUGUGAUUGUAGUAGUUGUGUCUAGAGGAUGGAGCCUUCAUCAAAUGGAUGUCUAUAAUGCCUUUUUACUGGGUGAUCUUGAAGAAGAAGUAUACAUGGAACUGCCAUAAGGUUUCAAGAGAAAGGGAGAGAAUAAGGUCUGCAAGCUGCACAAAUCUUUGUAUAGUCUCAAGCAAGCUUCAAGAUAAUGGAAUCUAAAGCUUACUAAUGCAUUACUUGAUGCUGGAUUUACUCAAAGUGCACAUAAUUAUUCCCUUUUCACUCUACAUAAAGGUGCACAUGGAGAUGAAUUGUUAUCAGAUGCUUCUUUUUAUCAAAGACUUAUGGUCAAGUUCAUGUAUGCCACCAUUACAAGACCUGAUAUCAGUUUUGUUUUCCAAAUACUCAGUCAGUUUAUGCAACAUUCUAAGAGGUUACACAGGGAAGCUGCUACAAGAGUAGUCAGGUAUCUAAAAGGUUUGUUGGACAAGGUAUUUGGUUAAAGAUUGAUUAUUCUACUGCUCUUACUUGUUAGGGUGACUCAGACUGAGCUGCCUGUCCUAACACUAGAAGAUCAUUCACUGGAUAUGCAGUUUAUUUGGGUUAAUCCUUGAUAUCUUGGAAGUCCAAGAAACAAGAUAAUAAGUCCAGGAGUUUUGUUGAAGCUGAGUAUAGAAGCAUGGCUUCAGUAGUUGCAGAGAUAACUUGGAUAGCUGGUUUUUUCCAGGAACUCAAUGUUCCCAUUACUUUGCCUAGAUGAGUAUUUAGUGAUAGCAAUUUAGCUAUACAACUGGAAAACAAUCUAGUGUUUCAUGGGAGAACAAAACACAUAGAGAUUGAUUGUCACUUCAUCAGGGACAAGAUCAAGAGUGGCUUGAUCCAGGUUGUUUAUGUCAACACUCAUGAUUAGGUUGCUUAUCUUAUCACUAAGAGCUUAAUUCAAGCUCAACAUGCACAUUUAUUAGGCAUUACCUCAUUCUUUUGAUUUGAUUAAUAAAAAAAUAAUAUGAUAUUCCUCUUGGAGAGAGUAUUUAUUUAUUGAGUUAAGCAUCUAGCAUCCUAUGAUUGUUUUAACAUGUGAUUACUGCAUCUUCUUUAUGUACAUGGCUACUGUUUCAUUAGAUACUUUACGGUUUUAUUGAUCAAUUAAUUAAUCGGUUAAUGAAUUAGUUGAAUAAGUUGCCAAAUAGUUAUGAGGUAGUUAGCUGAGUUGUCAAUGAACUGGAAGUGAGCUAACAAAAGCUCAGUUGCUCAGUCUAUAAAUAGGGGCAACAAUGCUUUGUACAAAGAGAGAUCAAUCAAUAAAAUUAGUUUCUCUUUUCAUUUUCUCUCCAUUAAUCAUGAAUAAUCAAGCUGCAUUGCUUGAUUUUCACAUGGUAUUACAGCCUGGAGCUCAGUACUGAGAAGAUUCACAUUGCUUCUCAUCCAGUUCUCUGAGGAUUUUUGGGAAUUGUGUGAUCCCUAUUUUCUUCUUCCUCUUCGCAGAGUUAAGUUUUUUCUUUUUGUUGUCCAACGGUUCAUCUAUGGCCCCAAAAAUUAAUCAAGGUGAUCCACUUUUCAUUGGUGCUUCAGACAGCUCUAGAGUUGUACUCGUUCCUAUCAAAACGUGACACCUUUGACAUGGACUCCAUUUUUAUGGAAUAAAUCUGUCAGGUCAGCCCAAAAGAGUGACAAAAAUACACUAAAAUUGACUUCAAAGGGGUAAUAGGAUCCUAUAAAAUUAUAAUAUGUCGUAGCAAUUUUGGCCAUAAUUCGUAAGUGUACUGGAUGCUUAUCUCAUUUUUAGCCUCUUAUGUACUUAUUAAAUAAAAGGCUUGACAAAAGAAUAGUUGAGAAAUUGAUCCAACUAUAAGCUCAAAUCUUAUGUACUUUCGAGAUAGGAUAUGCAUGAUUUGUAGCGAGUAAAGCAUUUAGAAUCCUUUGAACUAUCAUCGAAUUGGUUAUGAAACACUCCAAUUUUACAGGGAUU